UACGUAGGGGGCGAGCGUUGUCCGGAUUUAUUGGGCGUAAAGAGCUCGUAGGCGGUUUGGUAAGUCGGGUGUGAAAACCCCAGGCUCAACCUGGGGACGCCACCUGAUACUGCUAUGACUUGAGUCUGGUAGGGGACCACGGAAUUCCUGGUGUAGCGGUGAAAUGCGUAGAUAUCGGGAGGAACACCAGUGGCGAAGGCGACUACCUGGCCUGUUCUUGACGCUGAGGCGCGAAAGCUAGGGGAGCAAACGGG
Molecule: ribosomal RNA, 254 nt
Filed under: uncultured bacterium
Lineage: Bacteria
Description: partial 16S ribosomal RNA
Rfam family: Bacterial small subunit ribosomal RNA
Source: RNAcentral